This 301-nucleotide ribosomal RNA is filed under the name uncultured bacterium. RNAcentral's name for it is "partial 16S ribosomal RNA". It matches the Rfam family "Bacterial small subunit ribosomal RNA", at positions 509 to 807 of the family's 1533-position model. The record is from RNAcentral.
CAGUAGCCGCGGGAAUACGGAGGGUGCAAGCGUUAAUCGGAAUUACUAGGCGUAAAGCGCACGCAGGCGGUCUGACAAGUCAGAUGUGAAAUCCCCGGGCUUAACCUGGGAACUGCAUUUGAAACUGUCAGGCUGGAGUCUUGUAGAGGGGGGUAGAAUUCCAGGUGUAGCGGUGAAAUGCGUAGAGAUCUGGAGGAAUACCGGUGGCGAAGGCGGCCCCCUGGACAAAGACUGACGCUCAGGUGCGAAAGCGUGGGGAGCAAACAGGAUUAGAUACCCCGGUAGUCCCUGUCUCUUAUAC